RNAcentral lists this ribosomal RNA (468 nucleotides) under uncultured bacterium. Its description in RNAcentral is "partial 16S ribosomal RNA". It matches the Rfam family "Bacterial small subunit ribosomal RNA", at positions 28 to 507 of the family's 1533-position model. The record is from RNAcentral.
GACGAACGCUGGCGGCGUGCUUAACACAUGCAAGUCGAACGGAAAGGCCCUGCUUUUGUGGGGUGCUCGAGUGGCGAACGGGUGAGUAACACGUGAGUAACCUGCCCUUGACUUUGGGAUAACUUCAGGAAACUGGGGCUAAUACCGGAUAGGAGCUCCUGCUGCAUGGUGGUGGUUGGAAAGUUUCGGCGGUUGGGGAUGGACUCGCGGCUUAUCAGCUUGUUGGUGGGGUAGUGGCUUACCAAGGCUUUGACGGGUAGCCGGCCUGAGAGGGUGACCGGCCACAUUGGGACUGAGAUACGGACCAGACUCGUACGGGAGGCAGCAGUGGGGAAUAUUGCAGAAUGGGCGGAAGCCUGAUGCAGCAACGCCGCGUGCGGGAUGACGGCCUUCGGGUUGUAAACCGCUUUCGACUGUGACGAAGCGUGAGUGACGGUAAUGGGUAAAGAAGCACCGGCUAACUACGUG